UACGUAGGUGGCGAGCGUUAUCCGGAAUUACUGGGUGUAAAGGGCGUGUAGGCGGCACUGUAAGUCAGAUGUGAAAUCCCCGGGCUUAACCUGGGAAUAGCAUUUCAGACUGGGAGUCUAGAGUACUUUAGGGAGGGGUAGAAUUCCACGUGUAGCGGUGAAAUGCGUAGAGAUGUGGAGGAAUACCGGUGGCGAAGGCGGCCCCCUGGACAAAGACUGACGCUCAGGUGCGAAAGCGUGGGGAGCAAACAGG
Molecule: ribosomal RNA, 253 nt
Filed under: uncultured bacterium
Lineage: Bacteria
Description: partial 16S ribosomal RNA
Rfam family: Bacterial small subunit ribosomal RNA
Source: RNAcentral